UUUGGAAGCAUUUCAGACAUUUUUAAACAUUUGAAGUUAAAAAAAAUCGGUAGGGACCAAAUUGGUCUUGACGGUGGGCCCUACUGAAGAAAAACACACAGGAAAGACAUCAGCAAAGCCCUACAGGCAGUGAUAUAGAUGAGCACUUCAAACAAAACCAAAAGGAGUACUGCAAAGGACUAUAACAUACACUGUAAUCCCACAUUUUGUUUGAACCUAUAAAAAGUUGUAUAUUGCACACAAAUCUCAGAAUAUCCCACAUAUUACACGCCAAUUUUGAGUGUGGAGAAUGGUUUUCAUGAAUUUGUAGAAUCAACUGGGAUCUUUCAGUUGUAUCAACUUUCUGAGCAACAGGUGGCCCAGGAAAGAAGAUUUGAUUGGAUUCCGCCAAAAUGCACUUUUUUCCACUCCUAAACUUGGGGAUUUCCCGCUCAUCCCACAGACGACAGAGAUAGAAGUCACGGACGGUUCAUGACACAAGAGAGCAAGACACAGACUGUUUAAAAUAGGAGCAAGACAGAAAAAAAGCCAAGGCUUUUUUGAGAGCUUCUCAGUGGAAAAAUUCUGCAGAUUCUGUAUGGCAUCCAGGACUGACACUCAACUCCAACAGACUUGGUGGCAAAGAAGUACUUCACUCUAGAUGUACUGAAUGCGGCUAUCCGAUCUUUUCCAUACUCAUUCACAGACAAAACUGAUCGGCCACAACAGAUUGAUGGCCUCCCAAACAAUGACUAUGCGUGUUAUCCUCUGCGACGGGGACAUCAGGAAGCUCAUGCUGGCUUCAAGGCCCAGUUCAGUGGACGAUUUGAUCACCUGUCUGAAAAUCACACUCUCACUUCAGUACAAUUUCACUUUACAGUUUAGAGACCCAGAAUUUGAUAAUGAACUUUGCAACCUCACUGAUGUGUCUGAACUCCCAGAUAAACCAACUGUGAAGAUAAUUCCUGUGCUUGAAUUGGUGGAGAUCGCAAGCGAAAAUUUGGAUGAUAGUGUAAGUACAGCCGAUACAGUGCUGCUGUCCACGUCAUCACAGCAGAUGAGAAAGCCAUGGCCUGAUGAGUUUUCCCUCCCCAAGUUCUCUGUAGAUGUAGAAUUUAGACUCCGACAAGGGAAUUUAAGCUACCUCAAGGAUGGAACAUACUUGACCGUUUCAAAAGAGUUGAAACAUGACAUUCUCCACAAGAUAGCUGAAACCCUAUAUGCAAGGUUCAAAGCAUACCCCCAAAAAAAGGACCUUAGAGCAGUAGCGAAGGCAUUAAUUGCAGCUCAUCCCUGUCUUCAAGAAACGGCAUCGCCAACUGGUUACGAUGGGUGGAUACAGAGCCUAGUGGAUAAGAUGGGUAACUACAGGUCAAAAAUGAGGGCCCUGGGACACGAAGAUGUCAAGGUGAAUUCUGGUAAACGUGGAAGACACUCUGUUGGUGGGGAGCCACCAAACAAGAGCAUCAAGAAACCGAAAAAAGGAGAAGUCAAUUUCCUACCCAAUUUUCCAGGCGGA
Molecule: long non-coding RNA, 1498 nt
Organism: Alosa alosa (allis shad)
Lineage: Eukaryota; Metazoa; Chordata; Actinopteri; Clupeiformes; Clupeidae
Exons: 4
Source: RefSeq, a predicted model, not a curated record